RNAcentral lists this long non-coding RNA (2909 nucleotides) under Salmo salar (Atlantic salmon). RNAcentral describes it as "lncRNA (ENSSSAG00000106798.1)". Lineage: Eukaryota; Metazoa; Chordata; Actinopteri; Salmoniformes; Salmonidae. The record is from RNAcentral.
AGAGAGCAAAUUAGAAUCCAAGGAAGUUGACAUGUCAUCACUUCAUUUUUUUGCGCCUGCGCAUAAAUCUGAGAAACGUGAGUUUUGUCUUCAUUGUUUAUCUAGACAUAGGAUAGGUUGUGUGAAAAUAUUACUGAUGUUUAACGUUAAAAAUGGACCAAAAGAUUAAUGCUAAACAACAUUUGACAUGUUUGAACGAACAUAAAUAGAUUAUUUACUAGGUUUUUUUAGCUUUUCGGCGUGAUUUUACAGUCCCCCCACCACGUUUUGUGGGAGCAUAAUGAACGCUAAGUACUUGGUGUUAUUUGGACAUAAAUUAUGAACUUUGUCAAAAGAAACCACAUUUGUUCCGGACCUGGGAUGCCUUCCGGACCUGGGAUGCCUGCCUUCUGAUGGAGAUAAUCAAAGAUCUAUCCAUUACCUUCGACACCGUGAACCAUCAGAUCCUCCUUUACACCCUCUCAGGGCUGGGCAUCUGAGGCUCUGCACACUCUUGGAUUGCAUCCUACCUGGCAGACGGCUCCUACCAGGUGACGUGGCGAGGAUCUGUGUCUGCACCACGUACUCUCACUACUGGUGUCCCCCAAGGCUCAGUUCUAGGCCCUCUUCUCUCUACACACCAAGUCAUUCGGCUCCAUCAUAUCCUCACAUGUUCUCUCCUAACAUUGCUAUGCGGAUGACACUCAACUCAACCUCGACAAGACGGAGCUGCUCUUCCUCCAGGGAAAGCCUGCCCGCUCCAAAACCCUACACCCUAACCCGAGUACUCCGUUCUGCCACCUCAGGUCUCUUGGCUCUCCCACCCCAAGCUUUUCUCUGUCCUGGUACUCCAAUGGUGGAACCAGCUUCCCCCUGAAGCUAGGACAGCAGAGUCGCUGCCCAUCUUCCGAAAGCACCUGAAAAUCCUUACCUUUUCAAAGAGUAUAUUAAAUAUACCCCCCCCCCCCCACACCCCAAAACAAAUUCCUGAACCAACACUUGCACUUGAUUUAAUCCCCCUCCUCGCUUUGUAGUGAUGACUUUGCUGAUAGCUACUUUAUUACGGAAAAGUAUACUUACUAUGCCUGUGAUAUCUGGUUGUCCCACCUAGCUAUCUUAAAAUGAAUGCACUAUCUAGAUAAGAGUGUCUACUAAAUGACUAAAAUAUAAUAUAAAAUGGGUGUGAAUACUUAUGUAAAUGAGAUAUUUCUGUAUUUCAUUUUCAAUAAAUUAGCAUGUUUUCACUUUGUCAGGGUAUUGUGUCAAGAUGAGUGAGAUUUAAAAAAAAAAUGAUUCAGGCUGUAACACAACAAAAUGUGGAAUAACUCAAGGGGUAUGAAUACUUUCUGAAAGCACUGUAUAUAUUAAUGUGGAUGAUUCAUUUUGAGCCCAGGAAUAGGUCAACUGGGCUAAACUGCAUUGUGAAUAAUUUAAGAUUCUAUUAACAUUUAAAGUUGACAUUGAUUUGACACAGUCAGGCCUCAGUGAUAUGAUAAGGUGCAGGGAGGGAACAGAAAGCUGUGCUAUGAUAAUUGCCCAGAUGGCUUUUGUUUGUUUAAUGUCAUCUUUCUCAGGUCUGUUAUUGUACUCGUCAAGAGUGGAUAUCGGAUAAGUGUUCUUGGUCUGCAAGCUAUUGAGGUUCACAUUUAAGCAACUAGCGUUGCUUAGUGACAGGAGAUCACAGAUCAAUAGCCCCGGGCCAUCUCCUCCUGACCAUCAUGACCUGGGAGAUAAGGAGCACAGGCCAUGUGACCUCCUUGCCUUUAAAGAUCUGUUUACACAAAGACAAACACUAGAACAAGACCUUUGAAUAAGACGCCUGCCAUUUGCAUUCGGGUCAUCUGAAUUUAAAGUUUACAUUUACUGGACAGCUUGCGUAUUCUUCCUUUUAAACUAUACAAUGAAAUGACCAAGCCUUUGUAGUUGGAUGAAUAUAUAGAAAAGCUAAAUGUCUUCCAUAUAAUUUGUAAGCAUAUUUGGCAUAUUUCAGUGAAUAGGAAAAGUAAACUUAAAUAGCAUCCAAGCCAUUGUAAGUACAAUUACAAAUUUGACAAAAGCUUCUUGGAUUAAGGACAACCAUUUCACUUAUUGUUGGACCUUCACCUUGGAAUGUAAUAAAAUGCAACUCUGCAAAACAGCAGGGAGUCUAGCAGGAGGAGACUUAUUGUAAUGCCCUCUGAGGUCUAAUACCAGGUGGCAUUCUGCUUCUUCAGCGCUGUGCCGGAGGACACAGGCUCAGGUAGCAGGUUAUACCUUAGAGCCGGCAUCCUGCUGUCUGGUUUACCCAGGUGAAAGAAAAAGGGAAACAUUGUUGAGGAACAAACAGGAAUAUGUAACUACUUAUUAUAACUAGAACACACUGUGUUCAUGAAAUGACUGCAUGAAUAAAUAAAGAGAAUAGCAUUGUUUUAUCAAAUGUCUUGCUGCCCCAUUGUCUGCAGAAACAAGGCUAAUGCUACUUGAUCCAGGAUGGAUCUCUCACAAAAGAUAAACUUCAGUCUGCAAUCUCAGGUUCUAGCUACAUCUGGGGCUGGAUAACAGAAACUGCAACAUGACAAAAUGUGUAGAAUGGCAUUAUAAAACAGAAUAUUUUUCUCUCUGCUCCAUGGCAAAAUGUGUUGAAAUGCAGUAAAUUCCUUUUUUUUUUCAUCCAAAAAUAAAUCCAUGGUGCCCCAAAUGCGGUAGUCUGUCCUUGGCUACAUCAUUCCUUUUAUUCCAUUAAACACUCAAGCCACUUUCUUCACUCAGCAGCAGUGUGCACUAAUGACACAAUCCAAGGCAGAAUCACUGCAUAAAUACCACUAACCACCAUCCAUACUUCUCCUCCAUCUACAUGCUAAUUACUUUGCUAGCCUGAGAUCUCUGCCAUCUAUUCCUCUGACAAGUUUUAAUAAGCACCUCCAUGCACUCAGAUGUCAUUAGUACGGGAC